RNAcentral lists this ribosomal RNA (501 nucleotides) under uncultured bacterium. RNAcentral describes it as "partial 16S ribosomal RNA". It matches the Rfam family "Bacterial small subunit ribosomal RNA", at positions 30 to 523 of the family's 1533-position model. The record is from RNAcentral.
AUUGAACGCUGGCGGCAGGCUUAACACAUGCAAGUCGAGCGGAGAUGAGGUGCUUGCACCUUAUCUUAGCGGCGGACGGGUGAGUAAUGCUUAGGAAUCUGCCUAUUAGUGGGGGACAACAUUCCGAAAGGAAUGCUAAUACCGCAUACGUCCUACGGGAGAAAGCAGGGGAUCUUCGGACCUUGCGCUAAUAGAUGAGCCUAAGUCGGAUUAGCGAGUUGGUGGGGUAAAGGCCUACCAAGGCGACGAUCUGUAGCGGGUCUGAGAGGAUGAUCCGCCACACUGGGACUGAGACGCGGCCCAGACUCCUACGGGAGGCAGCAGUGGGGAAUAUUGGACAAUGGGGGAAACCCUGAUCCAGCCAUGCCGCGUGUGUGAAGAAGGCCUUAUGGUUGUAAAGCACUUUAAGCGAGGAGGAGGCUACUGAGACUAAUACUCUUGGAUAGUGGACGUUACUCGCAGAAUAAGCACCGGCUAACUCUGUGCCAGCAGCCGCCGUAA